RNAcentral lists this transfer RNA (73 nucleotides) under Agrilus planipennis (emerald ash borer). It matches the Rfam family "tRNA". From Rfam's summary of the family: Transfer RNA (tRNA) molecules are approximately 80 nucleotides in length. Their secondary structure includes four short double-helical elements and three loops (D, anti-codon, and T loops). Further hydrogen bonds mediate the characteristic L-shaped molecular structure. tRNAs have two regions of fundamental functional importance: the anti-codon, which is responsible for specific mRNA codon recognition, and the 3' end, to which the tRNAs corresponding amino acid is attached (by aminoacyl-tRNA synthetases). tRNAs cope with the degeneracy of the genetic code in two manners: having more than one tRNA (with a specific anti-codon) for a particular amino acid; and 'wobble' base-pairing, i.e. permitting non-standard base-pairing at the 3rd anti-codon position. The record is from Rfam by way of RNAcentral. Lineage: Eukaryota; Metazoa; Arthropoda; Insecta; Coleoptera; Buprestidae.
CCUCUCGUGGCUUAGUGGUCAAGACAUCGGUGCGUAAAGCGAAAGGUCCCGGGUUCGAAUCCCGGCGAGGGUA